RNAcentral lists this ribosomal RNA (57 nucleotides) under Chaenotheca chrysocephala. RNAcentral describes it as "partial 28S ribosomal RNA". Lineage: Eukaryota; Fungi; Ascomycota; Coniocybomycetes; Coniocybales; Coniocybaceae. The record is from RNAcentral.
GACCUCGGAUCAGGUGGGGAUACCCGCUGAACUUAAGCAUAUCAAUAAGCGGAGGAA